UACGUAGGGGGCAAGCGUUGUCCGGAUUUAUUGGGCGUAAAGAGCGUGUAGGCGGCUUUACAGGUCCGUUGUGAAAACUCGAGGCUCAACCUCGAGACGCCGGUGGAAACCGUAAGGCUAGAGUCCGGAAGAGGAGAGUGGAAUUCCUGGUGUAGCGGUGAAAUGCGCAGAUAUCAGGAGGAACACCCGUGGCGAAGGCGGCCCUCUGGACGGUGACUGACGCUGAGACGCGAAAGCGUGGGGAGCAAACAGG
RNAcentral lists this ribosomal RNA (253 nucleotides) under uncultured bacterium. Its description in RNAcentral is "partial 16S ribosomal RNA". It matches the Rfam family "Bacterial small subunit ribosomal RNA", at positions 524 to 776 of the family's 1533-position model. The record is from RNAcentral.